Small nuclear RNA from Cannabis sativa, 105 nucleotides. Lineage: Eukaryota; Viridiplantae; Streptophyta; Magnoliopsida; Rosales; Cannabaceae. The record is from RefSeq and is a predicted model, not a curated record.
UUAAAACUAGUGUAUAAAAGAGAAAUCUAAUAACGAUACGAGAAGAUUAGCAUUGGCCCCUUCGCAAGGAUGACAUGCACAAAUCGAGAAAUUGUCCAAUUUUUU